This 253-nucleotide ribosomal RNA is filed under the name uncultured bacterium. Its description in RNAcentral is "partial 16S ribosomal RNA". It matches the Rfam family "Bacterial small subunit ribosomal RNA", at positions 524 to 776 of the family's 1533-position model. The record is from RNAcentral.
UACGGAGGAUGCGAGCGUUAUCCGGAUUUAUUGGGUUUAAAGGGUGCGCAGGCGGGAGAAUAAGUCAGCGGUGAAAUCUUAAGGCUCAACCUUAAAAUUGCCGUUGAAACUGUUUUUCUUGAGUAUGGAUGAAGUAGGCGGAAUUCGUUGUGUAGCGGUGAAAUGCAUAGAUAUAACGAGGAACUCCAAUUGCGUAGGCAGCUUACUAAGCCAUUACUGACGCUCAUGCACGAAAGUGUGGGUAUCAAACAGG